RNAcentral lists this ribosomal RNA (440 nucleotides) under uncultured bacterium. Its description in RNAcentral is "partial 16S ribosomal RNA". It matches the Rfam family "Bacterial small subunit ribosomal RNA", at positions 338 to 795 of the family's 1533-position model. The record is from RNAcentral.
CCUACGGGUGGCAGCAGUGGGGAAUAUUGCACAAUGGGGGGAACCCUGAUGCAGCAACGCCGCGUGGGUGAAGAAGUACUCCGGUAUGUAAAGCCCUGUCAGCAGGGAAGAAAAUGACGGUACCUGACCAAGAAGCCCCGGCUAACUACGUGCCAGCAGCCGCGGUAAUACGUAGGGGGCAAGCGUUAUCCGGAUUUACUGGGUGUAAAGGGAGCGUAGACGGCAAGGCAAGUCUGGAGUGAAAGCCCGGGGCCCAACCACGGGACUGCUUUGGAAACUGUGUUGCUGGAGUGCAGGAGGGGUAAGCGGAAUUCCUGGUGUAGCGGUGAAAUGCAUAGAUAUCACACAGAACACCGAUUGCGAAGGCAUCUCACGAAUCCGCGAUUGACGCUGAUGCACGAAAGCGUGGGUAUCAAACAGGAUUAGAUACCCCUGUAGUC